This 1190-nucleotide long non-coding RNA is filed under the name Pavo cristatus (Indian peafowl). RNAcentral's name for it is "lncRNA (ENSPSTG00000003482.1)". Lineage: Eukaryota; Metazoa; Chordata; Aves; Galliformes; Phasianidae. The record is from RNAcentral.
AAUGCCAGGAAUCUCUUUAUUACCACGAUGGAGAUAAAUGAUAUGUCUAGGAGGGCUGUUCUGACAGUGGGCACGGCCGUGCAUUCUGCGCUUUCUGAAUUGGAAGAGAUCUGUUUCUGAUUGAGGCAGUACUGUAAUAGAAGUAAUAACACAUGAGCUGCUACCAACACCACCUCCAACAUCCUUUCCUAUCUACAAAUCAACUGCAGGCAAUAUUUGCCCAUCGAGAUCUAAAAUUGUAUAUGACUUCAUUUAGCACAAAUGUUGCCUGAAGUCUCAGCCACAGAUUAAUUAAAUAUCUUUGGGAAGACAGGCCUGAGAUAUCUGGCCGUAACUUUGAUCUCAUAUAAGCUCAGAAGAAUUGGCCCAAGAAAAGAUUCAGGUAAGUUAAUUUUGCAUAGUAGAUUUAUACGUGAAUUUAUCCUCUGUGCUCUGAUGAAGUUCUCAUGGGGGUUUGUUGGACUUCCAGCUCCAGGCAUUCCAGGGAUGCAUCUGGGCAAAGUCUGCACGAUUGGUGAGGGGAAUGGCCACCAACAGUGAUGGCAUUUGGUUUCAUUGUGCUUGUCCAAAGUAAUUUCAGAUGUAAUUUGUUUGUUGUAUAUGAGAUCCUCUGCUUUGCUACCACUGCUCUUGCAGCUGUGAGGCUCAGGGCAGUGCAUAGAACGAAUGAAUGUUUGCUCUGAAGGAAAACAGUGCAUUUCUGGGGAUGGAGAGCCUGCAUUCUAUUACAAGGAAAGUAUUUUCAGGUCUUACUUAUUGCUUGUGCACUGGGACACGUGUAUUAACAACAUUCUUCUUCCCUUCCUAUUUUCCAUGAUUGUUCAUCUGCUGAGAUUACUGAAGAAAUGUAACUGACCAACAGGAACGAUUGUAUGAAGUCAGAAUUAUCUCUGGGCUGAAUCUGGCCUCAGAUCCUGCACCCAGUGAGCGUGAAGAGCACACAGGGAAAACCAAAGUUAGGAGCAAUAGGACAGUGCAUGCUUCCAGAAGAAGUCUCAGCUGUGGGGCUGGCAAGGAGUAACAAACUGCCAUGCAGAGGAAGAGAAGCUCCCUGUGAUCCAGAUGGAAGCUGGGCUGCUGUGCAGGACUGCUGCAGUGUUGGACAGGUCUGCUUUGUACCAAAAAAUGCUCAAGUGUACCAGUGGAUGGGAGCUGCCUUUACAAGCUUCCCUCCACACCAGGGAAUCUGA